CAAUGAUUUAAUUUUAGUCAUUAAUUAAUUAAAUUAAUAACUUUUAUAUAUAAAAUAUUUUAUAAAACAAAAAUAUAGUAAUAAUAAAAUCUGAAAUAAUAAAUUAAUGUUUAAUUCGGAAAUUAAAAUUAAUAAAAGUAAAAACAUAGUGCCAGCAACAGCGGUUAAACUAGUUUUAUAAAUUAAUUUAAACAAAAUUAUUGAAAUUAUAUAAAAUUAACAAAAUUUUAAUUAAUUAAUUAAAUUUAUAGUGAAAUAUAAAAUUUAAAUUUAAUAAUUAAAUAUUAUAUUUAUAAUUAUUUAAAAAUUUUAGUAAAAAACUAGGAUUAGAUACCCUACUAUAAAAAACAAUAAAUAAAAUUAAUUAUUAAAUGUAAAUCAUUAAAAUUAAAAAAUGUGGCGGCCUUAUAUCCUUAUUAAAGAAACUUGUAUUUUAAUUGAUAAUCCACGAUAAGAUAGACUUAAUUUUAUGUUUAUGUAUUGCUGUUUAAAGAUUUUAAUAUAAAAAAAAGUUGCAAUAUUCAUUAAAAAUAAUAAUUCAAGUCAAAAUGUAGCAUAAUUAAGAUAAUAUGAGUUAUAAUAAAAUAUAUUUCUGGAUAAAUGUUAUUUUAAUAUUAUUUAGAAAGAGGAUCUAAAAGUAAAUUUUCUUAAUUAAUUAAAUUGAAAUUAGUUUUAUUAGGUGUACAAAUUGCCCGUCAAUUUCAUUACAAGUGAAGUAAGUCGUAACAUAGUAAAUGUACUGGAAAGUGUAUUUAGUAAUAA
RNAcentral lists this non-coding RNA (762 nucleotides) under Habropoda radoszkowskii. Lineage: Eukaryota; Metazoa; Arthropoda; Insecta; Hymenoptera; Apidae. The record is from RNAcentral.